Molecule: transfer RNA, 96 nt
Organism: Moniliophthora roreri MCA 2997
Lineage: Eukaryota; Fungi; Basidiomycota; Agaricomycetes; Agaricales; Marasmiaceae
Rfam family: tRNA
About the family: Transfer RNA (tRNA) molecules are approximately 80 nucleotides in length.
Source: Rfam
GCCUAGAUAGCUCAAUUGGAUAGAGCAGGGAGCAUACAUGUAAGGACUGUGUUUGUGAUCAAUCCAAGGUUGUGAGUUCAAAUCUCACUCCAGGUG